Macrobrachium nipponense is the source of this 1160-nucleotide long non-coding RNA. RefSeq lists it as uncharacterized. The record is from RefSeq and is a predicted model, not a curated record. Lineage: Eukaryota; Metazoa; Arthropoda; Malacostraca; Decapoda; Palaemonidae. The transcript is spliced from 2 exons.
AAAAACCAAGUAUGAACAUGUUUAGUGGUUUUUCUUGAGUUUUAACUAACAAAAUAGGCUGUUUUUAGCGUUUUUAUAGGGGUUCCAAACAUUCGCGGGUUCUAACUAUUCAUGGGAGGGUCUGGUACGCAACCCUUGCGAAUAGGGGGGGACCACUGUACUCUGUAUUUAUAAUGUUCAUGCUUACAGUGAGUGCUUGUAAGCACACCCUCUAGUCAGUCAGGACCGUGGGCAUAACAGCCAUCGCUUCCCGUCCGAUUAACGAAGUUAGCAAUGACUGGGUGAGGGUUGGCUUGGAUAGGUGAUCCCAUGGAGUAACGGAUUCUGUUGAUGUCUAGGAGACGUCUUUCAUAUCCAUGGUCAGAAACAUCAGGACUCGUUGGUACUUAGAAAGUGACUACCUAGAAAUUUCAGAUGCUGUUGGCAUCUAGGAAACAUCUUUCAUCACAUCCAUGAUUCAAGUCUUGGGCUUACAACUUCCUGUCGUUUUGCCUGAUUCCUUGGGAGAUCAACAGUGCAAGUACCAUCUGACUUAAGACCUUAGGAAGUGGCCGAAUAUUGGAAUGUUGGCUAGAUUGGAAGGAUUGACUAACAGUUCGUCAGUAGUUAUGAUGAAGUAAAGAAAGAAAAAAGGAUGAAAUAUUAUAUUUCCCACGUAAAAUCUAACUAUGGCGUUAGGUUCUUGCAAGUAUGAUGGAAAUCACAGCGUCAUUACUGGGAGACAUAUCCGCUCCCGUAUCGUCACAUUUUCUCACUUGCAGAGCCAUCAUUUGGUCCUUGCUAAUUUUUAUGCUUUGUGUGUUUUUACUCUGAUGAUGUUUUUACCAUAGACAAUUUAGGUUAUUAAAUUAUAUCGAUUAAGGUAGAAUGAAAGAUUUUGUUUUGCAUUUUUAUUUCCUAAAAGUUACAAGUAAGACGCAUAAAAGGAAAAAGCUUUUCAUUCAUAUACCAUUCUUUGAAACAGCUAUAGACCAAUGAAUGGUUUAAUUUCAUUUUCAUCAUACCAUUUUGGUGUAUGUGAUAUUGUAGGCAAACUUUCCAUACACUACUACUCUUCUAAAAACUGGUUGGCAAAUCUUUUUGUUACUGUUAUAAUGUGCUCCAUGACUUUGUCAUAAAAAAAACUUUAAAAUUAACAUAUAAUAAAUCUCUAAAAUUAA